UACGUAGGGUCCGAGCGUUGUCCGGAAUUAUUGGGCGUAAAGGGCUCGUAGGCGGUUUGUCGCGUCGGGAGUGAAAACACGGGGCUUAACCCCGUGCCUGCUUCCGAUACGGGCAGACUAGAGGUAUGCAGGGGAGAACGGAAUUCCUGGUGUAGCGGUGAAAUGCGCAGAUAUCAGGAGGAACACCGGUGGCGAAGGCGGUUCUCUGGGCAUUACCUGACGCUGAGGAGCGAAAGUGUGGGGGAGCGAACAGG
This 254-nucleotide ribosomal RNA is filed under the name uncultured bacterium. RNAcentral describes it as "partial 16S ribosomal RNA". It matches the Rfam family "Bacterial small subunit ribosomal RNA", at positions 524 to 776 of the family's 1533-position model. The record is from RNAcentral.